UACGUAGGGGGCAAGCGUUGUCCGGAUUCAUUGGGCGUAAAGAGCGUGUAGGCGGUCAGGUAGGUCGGUUGUGAAAACUGGAGGCUCAACCUUCAGAGGUCGACCGAAACCAUCUGGCUAGAGUCCGGGAGAGGAGAGUGGAAUUCCCGGUGUAGCGGUGAAAUGCGCAGAUAUCAGGAAGAACACCCGUGGCGAAAGCGGCUCUCUGGAACGGUACUGACGCUGAGACGCGAAAGCGUGGGGAGCGAACAGG
Molecule: ribosomal RNA, 253 nt
Filed under: uncultured bacterium
Lineage: Bacteria
Description: partial 16S ribosomal RNA
Rfam family: Bacterial small subunit ribosomal RNA
Source: RNAcentral